GAUUUCUCCGCAAAACAUACAAUAAUAUUGUUAUAUUUAGGGGUGUCAAGUGGAUGCAAAACGGCUUCAAUAGCAGGCGUUGUUUUGAAAGACUUCUCGAGUGCCUGAAAUCCAAGCAGAGCCCACUCUGACUGUACAAGUGGAGUCCGUCACCGCCAGCUUGGUUCCGACAAUUCCGUGCACAUCACGAACCACGAUAGCAAGUUUGAGGUACGCUAGUGGAGUCCAAACAUCACCACGUCUCCGCUUAUUCUAUCGUCUUUGAAUAACUGCACUGCGAAGUGCUUCAGUGUACCGGUAGUUUGCACUCUGAGUUUAGUUCUGCUUGGUAAAAAUCGUCCACGGAAGAGCAGAUGAUCCAUUGCUGUCUGUAUUUAUCAUGUUUAUUAAGGGAAGAACUAAUGGUUGUUGGAUAGUUUGAGGAAUUUGAGAAAUUAAUCCUUGCAGCAAGUUCACAGAAUGAUCGACUUUUUCUCAAGAGAAUUGAACAUUUCAUACAGGAAAUUAUGGCAGAGGAGAAAGAUGCAAAAGUCCGAGUAACGGUGAAAUCAAUUGGGUGGUGCUGAAAGAAGAACUGCUUCUGUUCAAAUCAUAUAUUUAACGUUCAACCCAUCACACAAAAAU
Molecule: long non-coding RNA, 624 nt
Filed under: Physcomitrium patens
Lineage: Eukaryota; Viridiplantae; Streptophyta; Bryopsida; Funariales; Funariaceae
Description: long non-coding RNA (PPAT_LNC002535)
Source: RNAcentral